AGCGCGACCGGGUCGACCGCGCGGGUGGCGGUCAGGUAGUCGCGGAUGACGAUGCCGUGCCGGUUCUC
RNAcentral lists this small RNA (68 nucleotides) under Actinomadura pelletieri DSM 43383. RNAcentral's name for it is "ASdes TB sRNA". It matches the Rfam family "ASdes TB sRNA". RNAcentral also lists the same sequence under 1 other name. The record is from RNAcentral. Lineage: Bacteria; Bacillati; Actinomycetota; Actinomycetes; Streptosporangiales; Thermomonosporaceae.